This 161-nucleotide ribosomal RNA is filed under the name Schoenoplectus tabernaemontani. Its description in RNAcentral is "5.8S ribosomal RNA". It matches the Rfam family "5.8S ribosomal RNA". Rfam says of the family: 5.8S ribosomal RNA (5.8S rRNA) is a component of the large subunit of the eukaryotic ribosome. It is transcribed by RNA polymerase I as part of the 45S precursor that also contains 18S and 28S rRNA. RNAcentral also lists the same sequence under 1 other name. The record is from RNAcentral. Lineage: Eukaryota; Viridiplantae; Streptophyta; Magnoliopsida; Poales; Cyperaceae.
UAUGACUCUCGGCAACGGAUAUCUCGGCUCUCGCAUCGAUGAAGAACGUAGCGAAAUGCGAUACGUGGUGUGAAUUGCAGAAUCCCGUGAACCAUCAAGUCUUUGAACGCAAGUUGCGCCCGAGGGACCCUCCCGAGGGCACGCCUGCCUGGGCGUAAGAA